AAGACAUUAGUAAAACGGAUAUUACAUCACCUUGUCAAGGUCAAAUUGUGGGUUAGACCCCCGCAUGUCUUU
This 72-nucleotide transfer RNA is filed under the name Acrossocheilus parallens. RNAcentral describes it as "tRNA-Asp". It matches the Rfam family "tRNA". Rfam says of the family: Transfer RNA (tRNA) molecules are approximately 80 nucleotides in length. Their secondary structure includes four short double-helical elements and three loops (D, anti-codon, and T loops). The record is from RNAcentral. Lineage: Eukaryota; Metazoa; Chordata; Actinopteri; Cypriniformes; Cyprinidae.